Molecule: ribosomal RNA, 549 nt
Filed under: uncultured Glomeromycotina
Lineage: Eukaryota; Fungi; Glomeromycota
Description: SSU rRNA
Rfam family: Eukaryotic small subunit ribosomal RNA
Source: RNAcentral
UUGGAGGGCAAGUCUGGUGCCAGCAGCCGCGGUAAUUCCAGCUCCAAUAGCGUAUAUUAAAGUUGUUGCAGUUAAAAAGCUCGUAGUUGAAUUUCGGGAUCAAUUUAUCGGUCGUGCCUACGGUAUGAACUGGUACAAUUGGUUUCUCCCUUCUGACGAAGCAUGAUGUCAUUAAUUUGGUGUCGUGGGGAAUCAGGACUGUUACUUUGAAAAAAUUAGAGUGUUUAAAGCAAGCAUUAGCUUGAAUACAUUAGCAUGGAAUAAUGAAAUAGGACGUUUGAUCCUAUUUCGUUGGUUUCUAGGAUCGACGUAAUGAUUAAUAGGGAUAGUUGGGGGCAUUAGUAUUCAAUUGUCAGAGGUGAAAUUCUUGGAUUUAUUGAAGACUAACUACUGCGAAAGCAUUUGCCAAGGAUGUUUUCAUUAAUCAAGAACGGAAGUUAGGGGAUCGAAGACGAUCAGAUACCGUCGUAGUCUUAACCAUAAACUAUGCCGACUAGGGAUCGGAUGAUGUUAAUUUUUUAAUGACUCAUUCGGCGCCUUACGGGAAAC